GGAAGGAUCAUUACAGAAUUGUCAACGGGUUGUUGCUGGUCCUCAAACGGGGACAUGUGCACGCUCUGUUUACACAUCCACUCACACCUGUGCACCCUCCGUAGUUCUAUGGUCUGGGAGACCCCGUCUUCCUGCCGUGGUUCUAUGUCUUUACACACACACUGUAAUAAAGUCUUAUGGAAUGUAUGCCGCGUCUAACGCAAUACAAUACAACUUUCAGCAACGGAUCUCUUGGCUCUCGCAUCGAUGAAGAACGCAGCGAAAUGCGAUAAGUAAUGUGAAUUGCAGAAUUCAGUGAAUCAUCGAAUCUUUGAACGCACCUUGCGCCCCUUGGCUAUUCCGAGGGGCAUGCCUGUUUGAGUAUCAUGAACACCUCAACUCUCAUGGUUCGCCAUGAUGAGCUUGGACUCUGGGGGUUUUGCUGGCCUGCGGUCGGCUCCCCUUAAAUGAAUCAGCCUCCCAGUGUUUGGUGGCAUCACGGGUGUGAUAAAUAUCUACGCUCGCAGUUGUCUGCCAGGUAACCUUUGGUGACAAAGGUCGCUGGAGCUCACAGAUGUCUCUCCUUGCGAGGACAGCUUUUUGAACGUUCGAUCUCAAAUCAGGUAGGACUACCCGCUGAACUUAAGCAUAUCAAUAAGCGGAGGAA
This 646-nucleotide small RNA is filed under the name uncultured fungus. RNAcentral describes it as "eukaryotic LSU rRNA". The stretch from base 212 to 366 matches the Rfam family "5.8S ribosomal RNA". The record is from RNAcentral. Lineage: Eukaryota; Fungi.